AAGGGCACCACAAGAACGCGUGGAGCAUGUGGCUUAAUUUGACUCAACGCGGGAAAUCUUACCGGGUCCGGAUACACUGAGGAUUGACAGACAACCAUAGACAGAAUACACAUACGAUUGUAUUCCUAACUGAAUAUGAUUAGUUGGUCUAAGGAUUUACACACAGGCACUAUCUCUCAUGAUUAUGUUGUAGGUGGUGCAUGGCCGUUGUUAGUUCGUGGAGUAAUCUGUCUGCUUAAUUGCGUUUCGUACAAAGUACUCACUCAAUCCUAGGCAUAGUUCAAUUAUAUGUGGCGGCAUCUAAAACAGUUUCGUUUGUGCGAACCUGUGUCGCUCUGAGUUAUUGUCAUUUGGAGAGUACGUGAAGGCAACGAACGUGACCGUAGUGUUUUAGUUUGGAUUUCAGACAAGUGUUAUUAACUUGACGCGGUCUGAGUUGGUUCAUGUGUACGCGCGCAACACACAGGAUGUGUCCCUAACGUCUUUUGACGUGAGUGUACUAACAUUUCCCAGUAACCAUUUCAACUAUACAUACCACUGCUUUUUUUUCUCUAACCAGGGGAAGGUUGCGGCAAUAACAGGUCUGUGAUGCCCUCAGAUGUUCCGGGCUGCACACGUGCUACAACGAUGAGCACAGUGUGUGCCUUUGUUGUGUCUCCAUGGUGGAAAUCAUUUUCAUUCAACGAUUAUCGAAAGAAGGAACGUAUGACGAGAGUUUUACGAAAGCCUUUGUUAAAUUUCUUAUUCCAGUGAACAUGACUGAUUGAAUAUCUUUUGAUCUUUGAAUGUUGUUGGUACACAUUUUGCGACAUUACUUCCCUAUUGAUCUCUGGAUUGUAGUGCGUUUGUAAUGCUGAUACUUUAAACGCCUAUCCUUUUGGUUAAGCGAUCAGAUAUCGCAUGUACCAUUGUUAAAUCCGGGUAGGGACAGACCUUUGAAAUUCUCGGUCUCGGUCUUAACCAGGAAUGCCUCGUACGAGUUGGUUAAACAUACCACUCGGAAUAUGUCCCUGCCCUUUGUACACACCGCCCGUCGCUCUUACCGAUUGUCUGUGUUGUGAGUAUUCGCGAUAGAACUACUGACUAGACUAUACGAUGUUGUUGUAGUCUAAAACGUCUACGAACAAUGUGGCUAAGAGGAAAGAGAAGUCGUAACAAGGCAUCAGUAGGUGAACCUGCUGAUGGAUCA
This 1189-nucleotide ribosomal RNA is filed under the name Globorotalia ungulata. RNAcentral's name for it is "SSU rRNA". It matches the Rfam family "Eukaryotic small subunit ribosomal RNA", at positions 1160 to 1828 of the family's 1831-position model. The record is from RNAcentral. Lineage: Eukaryota; Foraminifera; Rotaliida; Globorotaliidae.